UACGAAGGGGGCUAGCGUUGCUCGGAAUCACUGGGCGUAAAGCGCACGUAGGCGGAUUGUUAAGUCAGGGGUGAAAUCCUGCAGCUCAACUCCAGAACUGCCUUUGAUACUGGCGAUCUCGAGUCCGGGAGAGGUGAGUGGAACUGCGAGUGUAGAGGUGAAAUUCGUAGAUAUUCGCAAGAACACCAGUGGCGAAGGCGGCUCACUGGCCCGGUACUGACGCUGAGGUGCGAAAGCGUGGGGAGCAAACAGG
RNAcentral lists this ribosomal RNA (253 nucleotides) under uncultured bacterium. RNAcentral's name for it is "partial 16S ribosomal RNA". It matches the Rfam family "Bacterial small subunit ribosomal RNA", at positions 524 to 776 of the family's 1533-position model. The record is from RNAcentral.